AGGUAUCAGAAGUGCGAAUGCUGACAUAAGUAACGAUAAAGCGGGUGAAAAGCCCGCUCGCCGGAAGACCAAGGGUUCCUGUCCAACGUUAAUCGGGGCAGGGUGAGUCGACCCCUAAGGCGAGGCCGAAAGGCGUAGUCGAUGGGAAACGGGUUAAUAUUCCCGUACUUGGUGUUACUGCGAAGGGGGGACGGAGAAGGCUAUGUUGGCCGGGCGACGGUUGUCCCGGUUUAAGCGUGUAGGUGUGUGUUCCAGGUAAAUCCGGUUCACUUUAACACUGAGGCGUGAUGACGAGGCACUACGGUGCUGAAGCAACAAAUGCCCUGCUUCCAGGAAAAGCCUCUAAGCAUCAGGUAACAUCAAAUCGUACCCCAAACCGACACAGGUGGUCAGGUAGAGAAUACCAAGGCGCUUGAGAGAACUCGGGUGAAGGAACUAGGCAAAAUGGUGCCGUAACUUCGGGAGAAGGCACGCUGACAC
This 480-nucleotide ribosomal RNA is filed under the name Salmonella enterica. Its description in RNAcentral is "partial 23S ribosomal RNA". It matches the Rfam family "Bacterial large subunit ribosomal RNA", at positions 1277 to 1757 of the family's 2925-position model. Lineage: Bacteria; Pseudomonadati; Pseudomonadota; Gammaproteobacteria; Enterobacterales; Enterobacteriaceae. The record is from RNAcentral. RNAcentral also lists the same sequence under 1 other name.